RNAcentral lists this unclassified non-coding RNA (985 nucleotides) under Hevea brasiliensis (rubber tree). The record is from RNAcentral. Lineage: Eukaryota; Viridiplantae; Streptophyta; Magnoliopsida; Malpighiales; Euphorbiaceae.
AUUUUAAUAAUCUUCAUAUUCAUUUUACCAUAUCAUACCAUCUAACCAAACAAAAAAAAGGUUAUUAAAUCAUCUUAUAUUAUAAAAAUUUUCCAAACAUGUUAACAAUAAAACCAUACAAUACAAUACAGUAUAAUAUGAUACGAUACAUUAAUAAACCAUGUUGCACUCAAUCCAAACACAAUGUAAAACAUAAACUAACUUCUUGGUUGGGUGGAACCAUGGAGGCCACAAAGAGCAGAUCCAAGAUAUGCAAGCAACUAGCUUAAUGAGGAUAUAGCGAGUGAUGAAUUAAAAAUUUAAAAAUAACCAGUUAGAAGUUUGAACAGCUAAUUGUUGAAAAGAUUUGCACAAUAUAUUAUCUCAUAUCUCUCAUAAAGAUAAACUCUGAAAGUUUAUGGAAAGACAUGCUCCACUUCUCACUACCAAUUCCUAGCACAUAGUGAAACAAGGAAAGAGAUUCUAUAAAUCUUGAAAUUUGGUGGAUGUACUUUAGCUUUAAGAGCCAAUUUUACACCUGGUUCAUUAUUUGUUGCUUGAGCUUAGUUUUUACGCAUUUUAUAGACAAUUGAUUUGACCAUCAAGUUGUUAAGGCAUUACAAUCCAUAUUCAAGGUGCACCAUGAUAGGGGAAGUAACAAAGGGCCUGGCCCAAGGACAUUUCAAGUAUAUUCCAGAAGGGGGAAAAUGAACUUAAGUAGAGAAGAAGAGGGAACCAGUAAUCUGUUACUGGAAGAAGAUUGUUCAAGAAAAUUAUUAGAGGAAGAAGCAGGAACAGUGACAUGUGGAAGAGAAAUUGUGGAGGGCUUAAAUUAUAAAUAGUGUAGAUGAGUGGCAGUAGGUGUGGAGAAAAUUGUCUUCUUUUUGAAGGGCAGGGGAUUUCCUCAUGCAUGGGAUUUACUUUCUGGGGGCUUAGCCUAUUCUUGUUCUUUUGUUUGUUUCUGUUCUUAGCAGUGUUUGCUUAUGAUUUGUGAACAGUGAAUUUG